This 20-nucleotide transfer RNA is filed under the name Balaenoptera bonaerensis (Antarctic minke whale). RNAcentral describes it as "partial tRNA-Pro". The record is from RNAcentral. Lineage: Eukaryota; Metazoa; Chordata; Mammalia; Artiodactyla; Balaenopteridae.
CAGGGAAUAGUUUAUGUAGA